GUGCAUGGCGCAGCUAUACAUGCAAGUCGAGCGGAGUGAUUUUGAAAGCUUGCUUUCAAAAUCAUUUAGCGGCGGACGGGUGAGUAACACGUAGGCAACCUGCCCCUUAGACUGGGAUAACUACCGGAAACGGUAGCUAAUACCGGAUAAUUCCUUUCUUCUCCUGAAGAGAGGAUGAAAGAUGGAGCAAUCUAUCACUGAGGGAUGGGCCUGCGGCGCAUUAGCUAGUUGGUGAGGUAACGGCUCACCAAGGCGACGAUGCGUAGCCGACCUGAGAGGGUGAACGGCCACACUGGGACUGAGACACGGCCCAGACUCCUACGGGAGGCAGCAGUAGGGAAUCUUCCGCAAUGGGCGAAAGCCUGACGGAGCAAUGCCGCGUGAGUGAUGAAGGUUUUCGGAUCGUAAAGCUCUGUUGCCAGGGAAGAACGUCCGGUAGAGUAACUGCUACCGGAGUGACGGUACCUGAGAAGAAAGCCCCGGCUAACUACGUGCCAGCAGCCGCGGUAAUACGUAGGGGGCAAGCGUUGUCCGGAAUUAUUGGGCGUAAAGCGCGCGCAGGCGGCUAUUUAAGUCUGGUGUUUAAACCUUGGGCUCAACCUGAGGUCGCACUGGAAACUGGGUGGCUUGAGUACAGAAGAGGAAAGUGGAAUUCCACGUGUAGCGGUGAAAUGCGUAGAUAUGUGGAGGAACACCAGUGGCGAAGGCGACUUUCUGGGCUGUAACUGACGCUGAGGCGCGAAAGCGUGGGAGCAAACAGGAUUAGAUACCCUGGUAGUCCACGCCGUAAACGAUGAGUGCUAGGUGUUAGGGGUUUCGAUACCCUUGGUGCCGAAGUUAACACAGUAAGCACUCCGCCUGGGGAGUACGGUCGCAAGACUGAAACUCAAAGGAAUUGACGGGGACCCGCACAAGCAGUGGAGUAUGUGGUUUAAUUCGAAGCAACGCGAAGAACCUUACCAGGUCUUGACAUCCCGAUGUAAGCAUUAGAGAUAGUGCCCUCUUCGGAGCAUUGGAGACAGUGGUGCAUGGUUGUCGUCAGCUCGUGUCGUGAGAUGUUGGGUAAGUCCCGCAACGAGCGCACCCUAUGCUAGUGCCAGCACAUGAUGUGGCACUCUAGCAGACUGCGUGACAACCGAGAAGUGGGGAUGACGUCAAUCAUCAUGCCCUAUGACUGGCUACCACGUACUAC
Molecule: ribosomal RNA, 1192 nt
Filed under: bacterium
Lineage: Bacteria
Description: bacterial SSU rRNA
Rfam family: Bacterial small subunit ribosomal RNA
Source: RNAcentral